This 214-nucleotide long non-coding RNA is filed under the name Lathyrus oleraceus (garden pea). RNAcentral describes it as "Pisum sativum (pea) long non-coding RNA (PSAT_LNC018208)". Lineage: Eukaryota; Viridiplantae; Streptophyta; Magnoliopsida; Fabales; Fabaceae. The record is from RNAcentral.
UUUAUUUAUUUUUUUCGUUUUCUUUUUUUUUUCUUUUUUUUUCUUUUUUUUUUAUUUUUUUUUUAAAAUAAAGUUUCUUGGAUCUAAUUCUGAUUGACAUGAUGAAAUGCAAUAUGAAAUGCUAAAUGAAUGCAUGAAUGAGGAGGGCAAAUUUUGGGGUGUUACAGCUACCCCUAUUCAAUCAUCAGCUAACCCGAGUAGGAUGAAAGCGAAC